RNAcentral lists this small RNA (432 nucleotides) under Pongo abelii (Sumatran orangutan). RNAcentral's name for it is "retained intron". The record is from RNAcentral. Lineage: Eukaryota; Metazoa; Chordata; Mammalia; Primates; Hominidae.
ACCUGCUGCGGAUGAUCUGGAAUGCUCAGAAAAUCUUCCACAUCAACCCACGCCUUCCCUCCGACCUGCACCCAAUCAAAGUGGUGGAGGGAGUCAAGGAAUUGAGCAAGAAGCUGGUGAUUGUGAAUGGGGAUGACCCACUAAGUCGACAGGCCCAGGAAAAUGCCACACUGCUCUUCAACAUCCACCUGCGGUCCACGUUGUGUUCCCGCCGCAUGGCAGAGGAGUUUCGGCUCAGUGGGGAGGCCUUCGACUGGCUGCUUGGGGAGAUUGAGUCCAAGUUCAACCAAGCCAUUGUGAGUGUUGUGCUCUUCACAGCAGUCUUAUUUUCCUCCUUUUACCUGUUGACUUCUGUGGUUUCCAAGAGCAGCCCACUUCUGUCCACAGCCACCUAAUAAUAGCUCUCAUUCAUGGAGAGACUGCUUCUACCUU